This 459-nucleotide unclassified non-coding RNA is filed under the name Hevea brasiliensis (rubber tree). Lineage: Eukaryota; Viridiplantae; Streptophyta; Magnoliopsida; Malpighiales; Euphorbiaceae. The record is from RNAcentral.
AGGAUGCCUAACGGGGCGCCCAGGAAAUUAGGGGACGCUAUAAAGAGAUCACGGCCUAGCAGUCCAUAUGCCAGCCAAAGUGAACUUGAGAGGAAUGAGAAAAAUGAUAAAUAGAACGGCAUGAAUUCCACACUCCUUGUUUGUAUUACUAGUUUCAUAGCCACUAAUGGGGAAGCAUACAUUCCCACAGAGCCCACCAGACCAACACUCCCGGUGAAUACCUUGCGAGUAUGGUGAUCAUGCAAUGCAAAAGACGAGAUAGCUGCCGUUAUGGAGAAAACUAGGAUAACUGGUAGCAUAGUAACACCCACUUUUAUCUUUCCUCUAGUUUCAGCGAAUAGAAAAUAUAUGAUGAUGAAAGAAGACUCAAGGAGAAUGCCUAAACUAUUGAUGGUGGCGACAGGGAAGUUCUCCCAUUUGUAGCUUACGACUGGCAAUCCAUACCAAGUGUAAAGGAGA